Molecule: ribosomal RNA, 339 nt
Filed under: uncultured bacterium
Lineage: Bacteria
Description: bacterial SSU rRNA
Rfam family: Bacterial small subunit ribosomal RNA
Source: RNAcentral
ACUCCUACGGGAGGCAGCAGUGGGGAAUAUUGCACAAUGGGGGAAACCCUGAUGCAGCCAUGGCCGCGUGUGUGAAGAAGGCCCUUGGGUUGUAAAGCACUUUCAGUAGGGAGGAAGGUAGUGUAGUUAACACCUGCCAUUAUUUGACGUUACCUACAGAAGAAGCACCGGCUAACUCCGUGCCAGCAGCCGCGGUAAUACGGAGGGUGCGAGCGUUAAUCGGAAUUACUGGGCGUAAAGCGCAUGCAGGCGGCCUGUUAAGUCAGAUGUGAAAGCCCGGGGCUUAACCUCGGAAUUGCAUUUGAAACUGGCAGGCUAGAGUCUUAGUAGAGGGGGGUA